Molecule: ribosomal RNA, 1393 nt
Filed under: Aspergillus sp.
Lineage: Eukaryota; Fungi; Ascomycota; Eurotiomycetes; Eurotiales; Aspergillaceae
Description: SSU rRNA
Rfam family: Eukaryotic small subunit ribosomal RNA
Source: RNAcentral
UUAGAGAUCAGUUAGGAUGACACUGUAGUUAGCUUAGAGAAGGGGGCACUCCAUCUCAGAGCGGAGAAUCUGGUCAAACUUGGUCAUUUAGAGGAACUAAAAGUCGUAACAAGGUUUAUUCUAGAGCUAAUACAUGCUACCAACCUCGACUUCCGAAGGGGUGUAUUUAUUAAAUUAAAAACCCAUGCCCUUCGAGGCUCCUUGAGUGAUUCUUAAUAUCUUAACGAAUCGCAUGGCCUUGCGCCGGCUAUGGUUCAUUCCCAUUUCUGCCCUAUCAACUUUCGAUGGUAUGAUAGUGGCCUACCGUGGUGGCGACGGCUAACGAGUAAUUAGGGUUCGAUUCCGGAGAGGGAGCCUGACAAACGGCUACCACAUCCUAGGAAGGUUGCAGGCGCGCAAAUUACCCAAUCCCGAUACGGGGAGGUAGUGACAAUAAAUACUGAUACGGGGCUCUUUUGGGUCUCGUAAUUGGAAUGAGUACAAUCUAAAUCCCUUAACGAGGAACAAUUGGAGGGCAAGUCUGGUGCCAGCAGCCGCGGUAAUUCCAGCUCCAAUAGCGUAUAUUAAAGUUGUUGCAGUUAAAAAGCUCGUAGUUGAACCUUGGGUCUGGCUGGCCGGUCCGCCUCACCGCGAGUACUGGUCCGGCUGGACCUUUCCUUCUGGGGAACCUCAUGGCCUUCACUGGCUGUGGGGGGAACCAGGACUUUUACUGUGAAAAAAUUAGAGUGUUCAAAGCAGGCCUUUGCUCGAAUACAUUAGCAUGGAAUAAUAGAAUAGGACGUGCGGUUCUAUUUUGUUGGUUUCUAGGACCGCCGUAAUGAUUAAUAGGGAUAGUCGGGGGCGUCAGUAUUCAGCUGUCAGAGGUGAAAUUCUUGGAUUUGCUGAAGACUAACUACUGCGAAAGCAUUCGCCAAGGAUGUUUUCAUUAAUCAGGGAACGAAAGUUAGGGGAUCGAAGACGAUCAGAUACCGUCGUAGUCUUAACCAUAAACUAUGCCGACUAGGGAUCGGGCGGUGUUUCUAUGAUGACCCGCUCGGCACCUUACGAGAAAUCAAAGUUUUUGGGUUCUGGGGGGGAGUAUGGUCCCAAGGCUGAAACUUAAAGAAAUUGACGGAAGGGCACCCCAAGGCGUGGAGCCUGCGGCUUAAUUUGACUCAACCCGGGGAAACUCCCCAGGUCCAAACAAAAUAAGGAUUGACAGAUUGAAAGCUCUUUCUUGAUCUUUUGGAAGGGGGUGCAGGGCCGUUCUUAAUUUGGGGGAAGGAUUUGUCCGCUUAAUUGCAAAAACGAACAGAAACUCGGCCCCUAAAAAACCCGGUCCCGUUUGCGGGCCCUUGGUUUUUAAGGGGGAAUUCCGUUCAAACCCAUGGAAAAUGGCCCGGAAAAACAGGGU